Oncorhynchus tshawytscha (Chinook salmon) is the source of this 900-nucleotide long non-coding RNA. The record is from Ensembl. Lineage: Eukaryota; Metazoa; Chordata; Actinopteri; Salmoniformes; Salmonidae.
UGUAGUGGUUGUAGUGUAGUGGUUGUAGUGUUGUGGUUGUAGUGUUGUGGUUGUAGUGUAGUGGUUGUAGUGUAGUGGUUGUAGUGUAGUGGUUGUAGUGUAGUGGUUGUAGUGUAUUGGUUGUAGUGUAGUGGUUGUAGUGUAGUGGUUGUAGUGUAGUGGUUGUAGUGUAGUGGUUGUAGUGUAGUGGUUGUAGUGUAGUGGUUGUCGUGUAUUGGUUGUAGUGUAGUGGUUGUAGUGUAGUGGUUGUAGUGUUGUGGUUGUAGUGUAUUGGUUGUAGUGUUGUGGUUGUAGUGUAUUGGUUGUAGUGUAGUGGUUGUAGUGUAGUGGUUGUAGUGUAUUGGUUGUAGUGUAGUGGUUGUAGUGUAUUGGUUGUAGUGUAGUGGUUGUAGUGGUUUGGUUGUAGUGUAGUGGUUGUAGUGUAUUGGUUGUAGUGUAGUGGUUGUAGUGUAGUGGUUGUAGUGUAUUGGUUGUAGUGUAGUGGUUGUAGUAUAGUGGCUGUAGUGUAUUGGUUGUAAUGUAUUGGUUGUAGUGUAUUGGUUGUAGUGUAGUGGUUGUAGUGUAGUGGUUGUGGUGUAGUGGUUGUGGUGUAGGUGUUGUAGUGUAGUGGUUGUAGUGUAGUGGUUGUAGUGUAGUGGUUGUAGUGUAGUGGUUGUAGUGUAGUGGUUGUAGUGUAGUGGUUGUAGUGUAGUGGUUGUGGUGGUUGUAGUGUAGUGGUUGUAGUGUAGUGGUUGUAGUGUAUUGGUUGUAGUGUAGUGGUUGUAGUGUAGUGGUUGUGGUGUAGGUGUUGUAGUGUAGUGGUUGUAGUGGUUGUAGUGUAGUGGUUGUAGUGGUUGUAGUGUAGUGGUUGUAGUGUAGUGGUUGUAGUGUAGUGGUUGUAGUGGUUGUAGUGUAGUGGUU